AAUGACUCUCGGCAAUGGAUAUCUCGGCUCUUGCAUCGAUSAAGAACGUAGUGAAAUGCGAUACUUGGUGUGAAUUGCAKAAUCUCGUGAACCAUUGAGUCUUUGAACGCAAGUUGUGCCCGAGGCCUUGUGGCCGAGGGCACGCCUGCUUGGGCGUCAUUGC
This 163-nucleotide ribosomal RNA is filed under the name Burbidgea schizocheila. RNAcentral's name for it is "5.8S ribosomal RNA". It matches the Rfam family "5.8S ribosomal RNA". Rfam says of the family: 5.8S ribosomal RNA (5.8S rRNA) is a component of the large subunit of the eukaryotic ribosome. It is transcribed by RNA polymerase I as part of the 45S precursor that also contains 18S and 28S rRNA. Lineage: Eukaryota; Viridiplantae; Streptophyta; Magnoliopsida; Zingiberales; Zingiberaceae. The record is from RNAcentral.